RNAcentral lists this long non-coding RNA (1186 nucleotides) under Cyanistes caeruleus (blue tit). RNAcentral describes it as "lncRNA (ENSCCEG00000004008.1)". The record is from RNAcentral. Lineage: Eukaryota; Metazoa; Chordata; Aves; Passeriformes; Paridae.
AUGAAGUCACACUGGCUCUGUCUGUUUCAGUGCAGUGUGUGUGAACGGCUGAAUUUAAACAUGAAACGCCAAGAAAAAUUAACUUCCUGUGACAUCAGGUCAUGAUUUCAGGAAUGACAGAGCAUCCUGCAGGAAUGGGAAACGUUCUGACGUGGAACAUCCUCCGCUGCUGGGAGAUGUUAGAUAACAAGCAGGACGAUGGAACCUCUGCAGUUCCACCAAAUUUACUGCAUUUGCAGGAAGUACAAAGCUGAAAGCAGCGUACAGGAGAAGCUUGGCAGCAAGCAGAGUAUGUAAAUAAACAAUAAAAACUGAAAGCUGUGGUUGCUCCAUCCCUGGAAGUGUUCCAGUCCAGGUUGGAUGGGGCUUGGAGCAGCCUGGUCUAGUGGAAGAGGGAGGAACUGGAUGAGUUUUAAAGCCUCUUCCAACCCAAACCAUUCUAUGACUCCAUGAUAUGCAGAGUUGGUUUUUAUUUCCCUAAAAGUUGCAGUAAAGCAAGGAAAUCUAAUUCCAGUGAAUCUUCUAAUGAAGAACUCUUUGAACACUGGGGCCACCAACCUGACCUGAUCCCUGCAUGUUGAUGCCUUUACUUGGGCUGUGCACUGUUUUCAGAGUUAGACCAGUCUUGGCAGGACGAGCCCACGUGAGUUUGCAUCUGAAGGUCACGAGGACUCUCCUGGCCGGGCUGUGGGCACAGGCAGGCUCAGCCCAGGGGAUUAAGUCAACUCUUGCACAUUUUCCUAUGGAAUCAAUCGCUGUGGAAUCUCCUCCUUUUACAUCCUUUUGGUGAUUGCCUUUUACCUGACAGAUCCUUUCUUGCUCUUCCUCUGUGUAGGUUGUCACUUGUUAUUUGAGAAACUUUACUUGAGGAAUUUGGAGUGUCGUGUUAUACUUUGCACAUCAUCGGUUUAUGUGUGUGAGCCGCAGUAAAGCGCAGUGAUUGCUUAAAAACACUAUAGUUACUUAAAAGAGAUGACUUUGAUUGUGUGUUUUUUGUUCCCAUCACAAUAACACUUUGCAGGUGAUUAUUAAAUUAGAGAUUUUCUUUGUUUUUUGAACAAAAAAACCCCAACCUUUUUCAUGUCAGUGCCAAUUAUGAGUAGUAAUUUUUCACAUUUUACAAAAGAAUUUUCUGUCCUGCCUCCACGCCCCCCCAAAUAAAGAAGGGCUUUGACACUCUAUGACA